AACGAACGCUGGCGGCAUUCCUAACACAUGCAAGUCGAACGAGACCUUCGGGUCUAGUGGCGCACGGGUGCGUAACGCGUGGGAACCUGCCCUUAGGUUCGGAAUAACUCCCCGAAAGGGGUGCUAAUACCGGAUAAUGUCUUCGGACCAAAGAUUUAUCGCCUUUGGAUGGGCCCGCGUUGGAUUAGCUAGUUGGUAGGGUAAAAGCCUACCAAGGCGACGAUCCAUAGCUGGUCUGAGAGGAUGAUCAGCCACACUGGGACUGAGACACGGCCCAGACUCCUACGGGAGGCAGCAGUGGGGAAUAUUGGACACUGGGCGAAAGCCUGAUCCAGCAAGGCCGCGUGAGUGAUGAAGGCCUUAGGGUUGUAAAGCUCUUUUACCCGGGAUGAUAAUGACAGAACCGGGAGAAUAAGCUCCGGCUAACUCCGU
This 432-nucleotide ribosomal RNA is filed under the name uncultured bacterium. RNAcentral describes it as "partial 16S ribosomal RNA". It matches the Rfam family "Bacterial small subunit ribosomal RNA", at positions 29 to 506 of the family's 1533-position model. The record is from RNAcentral.